CACGUAGUUAGCCGGUGCUUAUUCUUCCGGUACCGUCAUCCGCCACGGGUAUUAACCACGGCGUUUUCUUUCCGGACAAAAGUGCUUUACAACCCGAAGGCCCUCUUCACACACGCGGCAUUGCUGGAUCAGGGUUGCCCCCAUUGUCCAAAAUUCCCCACUGCUGCCUCCCGUAGGAGUCUGGGCCGUGUCUCAGUCCCAGUGUGGCUGGUCGUCCUCUCAGACCAGCUACAGAUCGUCGCCUUGGUAGGCCUUUACCCCACCAACUAGCUAAUCUGCCAUCGGCCGCCCCUGUAGCGGGAGGUCCUAAGACUCCCCCCUUUCUCCGUAGAGCGUAUGCGGUAUUAAUCCGGCUUUCGCCGGGCUACUCCCCCAUACAGGACACGUUCCGAUGUAUUACUCCACCCGUUCGCCACUCGCCACCAGGGUUCGCCCCCGUGCCUGCCGUUCGACUUGCAUGUGUAAGGCAUGCCGCCAGCGUUCAAUCUGAGCCAGGAUACAAACUCU
RNAcentral lists this ribosomal RNA (507 nucleotides) under uncultured Burkholderia sp. RNAcentral's name for it is "partial 16S ribosomal RNA". Lineage: Bacteria; Pseudomonadati; Pseudomonadota; Betaproteobacteria; Burkholderiales; Burkholderiaceae. The record is from RNAcentral.